AAGUCGUAACAAGGUUUCCGUAGGUGAACCUGCGGAAGGAUCAUUAAUAGAGCAAUGAACAGACAGCGCCCCGGGAGAAAUCCUGGGGGCUACCCUACUUGGUAGGGUUUAGAGUCGUCAGGCCUCUCGGAGAAGCCUGGUUCAGACCUCCACCCUUGAAUAAAUUACCUUUGUUGCUUUGGCAGGGCGCCUCGCGCCAGCGGCUUCGGCUGUUGAGUACCUGCCAGAGGACCACAACUCUUGUUUUUAGUGAUGUCUGAGUACUAUAUAAUAGUUAAAACUUUCAACAACGGAUCUCUUGGUUCUG
RNAcentral lists this unclassified non-coding RNA (307 nucleotides) under Oculimacula yallundae. Its description in RNAcentral is "partial internal transcribed spacer region". The stretch from base 1 to 46 matches the Rfam family "Eukaryotic small subunit ribosomal RNA", at positions 1786 to 1831 of the family's 1831-position model. The record is from RNAcentral. Lineage: Eukaryota; Fungi; Ascomycota; Leotiomycetes; Helotiales; Ploettnerulaceae.